ACGAGUUCGAAAGUCGGUCGACCGUGCUGGCGGAGACGCAUGUGCACGUCGGUCGCGAACCAUCCACACACCGUGAACCUAUGGCCUGGGGUCUCGAGUUCAGAGCCCCGGGCAUCAUUUUUACACUCUGUUUGUAAAGGAAUGUCUUUAUAUCAUAAAACAUA
RNAcentral lists this unclassified non-coding RNA (164 nucleotides) under uncultured fungus. Its description in RNAcentral is "sequence contains ITS1". The record is from RNAcentral. Lineage: Eukaryota; Fungi.